GAUGAACGCUAGCUACAGGCUUAACACAUGCAAGUCGAGGGACCGGCGCACGGGUGAGAAAUAUGUAUCCAACCUGCCCUUUACUCGGGGAUAGCCUGUAGCAAGAAAGAUUAAUACCAGACAUAAAGGAAGGGGAUGCGUUCCAUUAGGUUGUUGGUGAGGUAACGGCUAACUAAGCCUUCGAUGGCUAGGGGUUCUGAGAGGAAGGUCCCCCACAUUGGAACUGAGACACAGUCCAAACUCCUACGGGGGGCAGCAGUGGAGUAUAUAGGUCGAUGGGCCCUGGCGUGGACCAGCCGAGUAGCGUGAAAAAUGAAGGCUUCUGGGACGUAGGCUUCUUUUGUAGAAGAAUAUGUAUUAUAUGAAUAAGGAUCGGCUAACUCCGUGCCAGCAGCCGCGGUAAUUC
RNAcentral lists this ribosomal RNA (406 nucleotides) under uncultured bacterium. RNAcentral describes it as "partial 16S ribosomal RNA". It matches the Rfam family "Bacterial small subunit ribosomal RNA", at positions 28 to 526 of the family's 1533-position model. The record is from RNAcentral.